UGAGGAAUAUUGGUCAAUGGGGGCAACCCUGAACCAGCCAAGUCGCAUGAAGGAUGAAGGUCUUAUGGAUUGUAAACUUCUUUUAUACAGGAAUAAAUUGGGGGACGUGUCCCCUUUUGCAUGUACUGUAUGAAUAAGGAUCGGCUAACUCCGUGCCAGCAGCCGCGGUAAUACGGAGGAUCCGAGCGUUAUCCGGAUUUAUUGGGUUUAAAGGGUGCGCAGGCGGGAUGUUAAGUCGGCGGUGAAAUUUUGCAGCUCAACUGUAAAAGUGCCUUCGAUACUGGCUUACUUGAGUGUAGAUGAAGUAGGCGGAAUUUGUGGUGUAGCGGUGAAAUGCUUAGAUAUCACGAGGAACUCCGAUUGCGCAGGCAGCUUACUAAACUACAACUGACGCUCAUGCACGAAGGCGUGGGGAUCAAACA
Molecule: ribosomal RNA, 422 nt
Filed under: uncultured bacterium
Lineage: Bacteria
Description: bacterial SSU rRNA
Rfam family: Bacterial small subunit ribosomal RNA
Source: RNAcentral